Molecule: ribosomal RNA, 415 nt
Filed under: uncultured bacterium
Lineage: Bacteria
Description: bacterial SSU rRNA
Rfam family: Bacterial small subunit ribosomal RNA
Source: RNAcentral
GAGCGCCGUAGCAAUACGGAGAGGCAGACGGGAGAGUAACACGUGGGAACGUACCCUUUGGUUCGGAACAACCCAGGGAAACUUGGGCUAAUACCGGAUAAGCCCUUACGGGGUAAAGAUUCAUCGCCGAAGGAUCGGCCCGCGUCUGAUUAGCUAGUUGGUGGGGUAAUGGCCCACCAAGGCGACGAUCAGUAGCUGGUCUGAGAGGAUGAUCAGCCUCACUGGGACUGAGACACGGCCCAGACUCCUACGGGAGGCAGCAGUGGGGAAUAUUGGACAAUGGGCGCAAGCCUGAUCCAGCCAUGCCGCGUGGGUGAUGAAGGCCCUAGGGUUGUAAAGCCCUUUCGGCGGGGAAGAUAAUGACGGUACCCGCAGAAGAAGCCCCGGCUAACUUCGUGCCAGCAGCCGCGGUAAU